RNAcentral lists this ribosomal RNA (500 nucleotides) under uncultured bacterium. Its description in RNAcentral is "partial 16S ribosomal RNA". It matches the Rfam family "Bacterial small subunit ribosomal RNA", at positions 30 to 523 of the family's 1533-position model. The record is from RNAcentral.
AUUGAACGCUGGCGGCAUGCCUUACACAUGCAAGUCGAACGGCAGCACGGAGCUUGCUCUGGUGGCGAGUGGCGAACGGGUGAGUAAUAUAUCGGAACGUACCCAGGAGUGGGGGAUAACGUAGCGAAAGUUACGCUAAUACCGCAUACGAUCCAAGGAUGAAAGCAGGGGACCGCAAGGCCUUGUGCUCCUGGAGCGGCCGGUAUCUGAUUAGCUAGUUGGUGGGGUAAAGGCCCACCAAGGCAUCGAUCAGUAGCUGGUCUGAGAGGACGACCAGCCACACUGGAACUGAGACACGGUCCAGACUCCUACGGGAGGCAGCAGUGGGGAAUUUUGGACAAUGGGGGCAACCCUGAUCCAGCAAUGCCGCGUGAGUGAAGAAGGCCUUCGGGUUGUAAAGCUCUUUUGUCAGGGAAGAAAAGGGAUUGGCUAAUAUCCAGUCCUCAUGACGGUACCUGAAGAAUAAGCACCGGCUAACUACGUGCCAGCCGCCGCAGUAA